UACGGAAGGUAGCAGUGGGGAAUAUUGGACAAUGGGCGAAAGCCUGAUCCAGCCAUGCCGCAUGAGUGAAGAAGGCCUUCGGGUUGUAAAGCUCUUUUAGUGAGAAAGAUAAUGACGGUACUCACAGAAGAAGUCCUGGCUAACUCCGUGCCAGCAGCCGCGGUAAUACGGAGAGGGCUAGCGUUAUUCGGAAUUAUUGGGCGUAAAGAGCGCGUAGGCUGAUUAGUAAGUUAAAAGUGAAAUCCCAAAGCUUAACUUUGGAAUUGCUUUUUAAAACUGCUAGUCUAGAGAUUUGAAAGAGGAUAGAGGAAUUCCUAGUGUAGAGGUGAAAUUCGUAAAUAUUAGGAGGAACACCAGUGGCGAAGGCGUCUAUCUGGUUCAAAUCUGACGCUGAGGCGCGAAGGGCGUGGGGAGCAAACAGGGAUUAGAUACC
RNAcentral lists this ribosomal RNA (433 nucleotides) under uncultured bacterium. RNAcentral describes it as "bacterial SSU rRNA". It matches the Rfam family "Bacterial small subunit ribosomal RNA", at positions 340 to 786 of the family's 1533-position model. The record is from RNAcentral.